Molecule: non-coding RNA, 136 nt
Organism: Hordeum vulgare subsp. vulgare (domesticated barley)
Lineage: Eukaryota; Viridiplantae; Streptophyta; Magnoliopsida; Poales; Poaceae
Source: Rfam
GUAAUACUCCCUCCGUCCCAAAUUUUUUGUCUUAGCUUUGUUUCAAAAUGGAUGUAUCCAAAUACUAAAACUUGACUAGAUACANNNNUAUCUAAACAAAUCUAAGACAAUAAUUUUGGGAUGGAGGGAAUAUAUG